GCAAAUGCUGUAAUGUCUCGUCUUCUUUACUUAUGAUAGUUAAUUUUUGGAACGUCUAUAAUAUCAAGGGUUUUACUAGAAGUGUCAAAUGCUCUUAAUGCGCUUAAUGUAUUUUUGUCCAUCUGAUGAGUUAAGCCUUUUCAAUUGAUUUUUAUAGUUCGUUCUUAUGUUGUACUGUCAGUGGGAAAGCCAGUGACAUUGAAGAGCUACUUCCGGUAGUCCCGCGGGAAAGGGGACAUAAUCUUAAAAUUUUGAGGUGGCGCUGUAACCAGCGUGUAAACAAAAACGUAGCCUGUGCUUCAGACAAUAAAUCUAUUAAAACAACUUAUCAUCCAUCAGUAUUUGAGUUUAAUUUUUCAUUAGAAUAGAUUUUGUCACACGACUGCCAAAUUCGGUAUUCAAAUAAGUGCUCCGUUACUGAAAUAUGAUAAUCCAAAAGACUACCUCCGCUGAUUUCCAAAAAACCGCGGGUAAUCCCCACGACUACAAACAACUGACACAAAUGCAUCCUAAAGCUUUUCAUUGGUCGAGAUAUAAAUAAAUGUGACCUAGAAACAUAUGGGCACAUGACUAUGUACAGGAUUCCCCGUCACUCUGAGUCUUGUUUACAUAAUAAAUACUUCAACCGGAGGUCAAAAUUCAACAUUUUUCAGACGUUUUGGGAGUUAUUUCGGUGCAAAAUCAAGCAAAUUAUGUCAGAUUUUACAGAUUUUAAGCACAAAAUUGAUUGAGACAACGAAGGGUGAUGAUGUUUUCAGGAUUUUAAAUAUAUUUUUCUUAAAACGUUGAGUGGUUGAAGGCUUUACAACGUCAUUUGUUGAUGUUUACAAUUUGCUCAAACUCCUCGUAUCACAUUUUCUGUAGUUAUUUAAUUAUGCUGCUGAUGUAUAACAGAUUUAUGGGCGAGAUUUAUGUAUUACAUUGAAACUGAUUUAAUCUAUGAACGAAUUUGUCCAUAUAAAUAACUUCCAUUGUCUGGAAGUAGACCUACCCCCUUUUUUCAACAAAAAAAAUUUCAGUUAGUCAAAAGUUGUUGUCUGAAUAAGCAUGCAAAAGUGCAAAGUGUAAGCACUCAGCUAGUCUUUGUUUUAAGCCAAUUUUUAGGGUAAUGGUUACAGUCAUUCUUUGAUUCUGUAAAUUAUUAUAAAUCUGAAAUGUUUCAACUUGUCAAUUUUAAAAAGUACAUGUACCAAUCAACAAGAAUUGCCUGCCUAAACACUCACACAUGUUUAUAAAUGUCUGUCCUUAUUAUGCUUAUCAAGCAACCUGAUGUACACUGUGACUAACUAUUCAUGUUUGAGUGUUUCUGGGCCCUGGGGCAUAUUUAACUCUUGAGAACUUGAGAUUAACAUUCAAUAGGAAUGCCCAAUGCCUAGUACAUCAAAUUCUUAAUACAUGUUAGAGCUACAUGUAUAUGACCAUUUAAAGCAUUAACAAAAUGCUAUAUCACUUCCA
This 1455-nucleotide long non-coding RNA is filed under the name Mytilus galloprovincialis (Mediterranean mussel). Lineage: Eukaryota; Metazoa; Mollusca; Bivalvia; Mytilida; Mytilidae. The record is from RNAcentral.